CCCGACUGCUAUUUGGGUGAGGAUAAGCCAUGCGAGUUGAAUGGGAAACCUAAAAAUCCCAUGGCAAACUGCUCAGUAACACAUGAUCAACUUACCCUAUAGAGGAAAAUAACCUCGGGAAACUGAGGAUAAUGUUCCAUAGUUGAAUCGGCUUGGAAAAGUUUUUCAAUUAAAGGGAUAAGGAAAAUGGUUCUUAUCUGCUAUAGGAUAGGAUCGUGCUCGAUUAUGGUUGUUGGUGAGGUAAAGGCUCACCAAGCCGAUAAUCGAUAGGGGCCGUGAGAGCGGGAGCCCGAGAUGGGUACUGAGACAACGACCCAGGCCUUACGAGGCGCAGCAGGCGCGAAACCUCCGCAAUACACGAAAGUGUGACGGGGUUACCCAAAGUGUUCUAUUUAGAACUGUGGUAGGUGAGUAAUGUCCCCUACUAGAAAGGAGAGGGCAAGGCUGGUGCCAGCCGCCGCGGUAAAACCAGCUCUUCAAGUGGUCGGGAUAAUAUUGGGCUUAAAGUGUCCGUAGCCGGUUUAGUAAGUUCCUGGUAAAAUCGGGUAGCUUAACUAUCUAUAUGCUAGGAAUACUGCUAUACUAGAGGGCGGGAGAGGUCUGAGGUACUACAGGGGUAGGGGUGAAAUCUUAUAAUCCUUGUAGGACCACCAGUGGCGAAGGCGUCAGACUGGAACGCGCCUGACGGUGAGGGACGAAAGCCAGGGGAGCGAACCGGAUUAGAUACCCGGGUAGUCCUGGCCGUAAACGAUGCAUACUAGGUGAUGGCGCGGCCAUGAGCCGUGUCAGUGCCGUAGGGAAACCGUUAAGUGUGCCGCCUGGGAAGUACGGUCGCAAGGCUAAAACUUAAAGGAAUUGGCGGGGGAGCACCACAAGGGGUGAAGCCUGCGGUUCA
Molecule: ribosomal RNA, 895 nt
Filed under: uncultured archaeon
Lineage: Archaea
Description: bacterial SSU rRNA
Rfam family: Archaeal small subunit ribosomal RNA
Source: RNAcentral